CAUGCUGUAAACGAUGUCAACUAGCCGUUGGGGACCUUGAGUCUUUAGUGGCGCAGCUAACGCGAUAAGUUGACCGCCUGGGGAGUACGGUCGCAAGACUAAAACUCAAAUGAAUUGACGGGGGCCCGCACAAGCGGUGGAGCAUGUGGUUUAAUUCGAUGCAACGCGAAGAACCUUACCUGGCCUUGACAUGUCUGGAAUCCUGCAGAGAUGCGGGAGUGCCUUCGGGAAUCAGAACACAGGUGC
Molecule: ribosomal RNA, 246 nt
Filed under: uncultured bacterium
Lineage: Bacteria
Description: partial 16S ribosomal RNA
Rfam family: Bacterial small subunit ribosomal RNA
Source: RNAcentral